UUCAAUUUGGUUUGGAGCGAAAAUGGUGCACCGUUUACAAUUGGCGCGCGAUUUAAAUGAUUUCCAAAUGCACGCAGCCUCGUUCAAUCGAAAAUUGAAAGCAAAAACGAAAGAAGACGAAGAGACAAAAAUAUUUCAAGACGUCCAAGAAAAACAAGCAAGGGACUGCUUUCUUUUUUUUCCCCCCCUCGAAUGAAUUAGAAAACGUUUCAUUUUCAGCAAUUUCACAAAACCAUCAGACCCGCGCGCACGCGCAAGAAUGAGAUGCACAACGACGUUUCAUAAAGAAGCUGCGUGGGGCGCGGCGUUUUUUUUCUUUUCGUUUUUUUUAUUGACGCUGUCAAAAGGGCACAAAGAGUGCACGGACGGACGAACGCGCAGAGCAGAGCAGGGCAGAGAAGACAAGAUGCAGCAGCCGCAGCAGCUCACACAAAAUGGACGCAUGCAGCCAGAGCAGGUAAGGAGGGUUGCCACAAAGCGGGCGCACUCCGCCGGUCUGCGUGCGCGUGAUAAACACAAGCCGAAGGACGCCCGGCCGGGCGGGCGAGCGAGCGAGCUAACGGGGCUGAUGAUGCUAACGGGCUAUCUCGGCGCCGCACAUUGCGCGGCCUCGCAGGGAAUAUUCAAAUAUCGGAAACUCGUCCCAAUGUUCCAAGUGCCCUCAGAUGCCGGCGACAAGCUGAGGAGGCGAGGAUGACUUUGCCUCAAAUUACAAAACACAAAUAAAGAAAUUGACUUCCUUGCUAA
Molecule: long non-coding RNA, 747 nt
Organism: Syngnathus typhle (broad-nosed pipefish)
Lineage: Eukaryota; Metazoa; Chordata; Actinopteri; Syngnathiformes; Syngnathidae
Exons: 2
Source: RefSeq, a predicted model, not a curated record